CUGCGGCAGGCUUACCAUGCCAGUCGAACGAUGAUUACCAGCUUGCUGGUAUGAUUAGUGGCGAACGGGUGAGUAAUGCUUAGGAAUCUGCCUGGUAGUGGGGGACGACAUUCCGAAAGGAAUGCUAAUACCGCAUACGACCUACGGGUGAAAGGGGGCGCAAGCUCUCGCUAUCAGAUGAGCCUAAGUCGGAUUAGCUAGGUGGUGGGGUAAAGGCCUACCAAGGCGACGAUCUGUAGCUGGUCUUAGAGGAUGAUCAGCCACACUGGGACUGAGACACGGCCCAUACUCCUACGGGAGGCAGCAGCGGGGAAUAUUGGACAAUGGGCGAAAGCCUGAUCCAGCCAUGCCGCGUGUGUGAAGAAGGCCUUUUGGUUGUAAAGCACUUUAAGUGGGGAGGAAAAGCAACUGGUUAAUACCCAGUUGCCCUGACGUUACCCACGGAAUAAGCACCGGCUAACUCUGUGCCAGCAGCCGCGGUAAU
Molecule: ribosomal RNA, 484 nt
Filed under: uncultured bacterium
Lineage: Bacteria
Description: bacterial SSU rRNA
Rfam family: Bacterial small subunit ribosomal RNA
Source: RNAcentral